CAGCCCUUCCAGUGGUUUGGCCUUCUUCACUGUCAGCACGGAUUAAGAUGCAUGAAGUCACUAUAGCAAGAAUGGAAGCUAUGGAGGACAAGCAAUUGAGA
Long non-coding RNA from Neogale vison (American mink), 101 nucleotides. RefSeq lists it as uncharacterized. The record is from RefSeq and is a predicted model, not a curated record. Lineage: Eukaryota; Metazoa; Chordata; Mammalia; Carnivora; Mustelidae. The transcript is spliced from 3 exons.